Long non-coding RNA from Hippopotamus amphibius kiboko, 782 nucleotides. RefSeq lists it as uncharacterized. The record is from RefSeq and is a predicted model, not a curated record. NCBI's taxonomy places the organism in Eukaryota, Metazoa, Chordata, Mammalia, Artiodactyla, Hippopotamidae. The transcript is spliced from 4 exons.
UUAUAAAUCCCAGCGGGCAAUUUACAUAGUUCUUCUGUGCCCCAGGGAGACUUGGACGAGCUCUGAUAGCCACAAACUCUGGCAGCUUAUUAAAUAUUGGACUGAGACGAAGGGAAAAGAAAGUCAAGGCAUUAGCAAGUCUCUGACAGAAGGACAGUUGGAGGCCACAGAAGGAGUUUAUAGAUGGCAAGACUCCUACUUCUAAUUCCAGGCCAACAGAGCCCUCUGGACAAAGCCCUUCACCCUUCUGAAGGCUUGACCAAGAAUCCACCAUCCGUGGGGCUGACCCUGAGCCCAGCCCCGGCUCUGGGAAUGCAGAGGAAAACGGGACAGAGAUCACACAGGCUGCUGUGUUGAGAAGAGGUUCAGGGGCAAAGGUGGAAGCAGAGAGACCUGUGAAGAAACAAUGGUGAUAAUGCCGCUGAAUCAAGAUGGCCGCUGGGACCAGAGGCGGAGCUGUGGGUGGUGAGACGUGGUAUAGAGCAAAGUGGUUCAGUUACGUGCUUUUAAGAAGACUGUCUCGUAGAACAACAUCUGUCUAUCAGUGACCCUUUUCCCUUGGGAGAUGCCAAGUUCGUAUCCAGCCUCAAGAUCCCCUGUUCAGACUCACCUCCCACGAUGACAAUCCGCUCGCCAAGCACCACGGCAGGGGCACAUACGUUCUUGAUCAUUCUCGUCUCCAUUUUGAACCACAUGUUUCUGGAAAUGUGAUAAACCUGAGGGAAAAAUAUAAUCACGGCACUGCAUUUUAAAGUGAUAAUAGGUGUUUUUGUUUAACUAAG